Molecule: long non-coding RNA, 323 nt
Filed under: Ictidomys tridecemlineatus (thirteen-lined ground squirrel)
Lineage: Eukaryota; Metazoa; Chordata; Mammalia; Rodentia; Sciuridae
Description: lncRNA (ENSSTOG00000029429.1)
Source: RNAcentral
GUAGAAUGUGUGAGAAACGAAGAAGUAUGAGUCCUCCAACUUCUUUUUCAAGGUUGUUUUGGCUACUCAGAGACCCUUGAAAUUCCAUAUGCAUUUUAGAGUCACAUCAUCAAUUUCUGCAAAACAACCAACUGGUAUGACACAUCUAGAAGUAACAGUGGCUAUUGUGUGGAGAAUAUGUUACAGAGAAACCAGAUUUUCUUAUUCAAGCAAGCACAACGGGGUUUGUUCUCUCUCUGCCUGCUCUCGCUUUUGAAAAUGCCCAUCACCUGAUGAACUGCAACUAUGAAUGAAGAUGCUUAUUAAAUAAAGUAAUAUAUAUU